CCUACGGGGGGCAGCAGUGAGGAAUAUUGGUCAAUGGCCGCAGGGCUGAACCAGCCAAGUCGCGUGAGGGAUGAAGGUCCUAUGGAUUGUAAACCUCUUUUGUCAGGGAGCAAAGGCCGCCACGCGUGGCGCUUUGCGAGUACCUGAAGAAAAAGCAUCGGCUAACUCCGUGCCAGCAGCCGCGGUAAUACGGAGGAUGCGAGCGUUAUCCGGAUUUAUUGGGUUUAAAGGGUGCGCAGGCGGAAUGUUAAGUCAGCGGUAAAAUUUCGGGGCUCAACCCCGUCGUGCCGUUGAAACUGGCGUUCUUGAGGGAGCGAGAAGUAUGCGGAAUGCGUGGUGUAGCGGUGAAAUGCAUAGAUAUCACGCAGAACUCCGAUUGCGAAGGCAGCAUACCGGCGCUCAACUGACGCUGAUGCACGAAAGCGUGGGUAUCGAACAGGAUUAGAUACCCUGGUAGUC
This 459-nucleotide ribosomal RNA is filed under the name uncultured bacterium. RNAcentral describes it as "partial 16S ribosomal RNA". It matches the Rfam family "Bacterial small subunit ribosomal RNA", at positions 338 to 795 of the family's 1533-position model. The record is from RNAcentral.